RNAcentral lists this long non-coding RNA (1174 nucleotides) under Salvia miltiorrhiza (redroot sage). Its description in RNAcentral is "long non-coding RNA (SMIL_LNC006369)". The record is from RNAcentral. Lineage: Eukaryota; Viridiplantae; Streptophyta; Magnoliopsida; Lamiales; Lamiaceae.
UGAUAAUGCAACACACUUCAUUGACUCAUUUAUUAGAACUUGCAUAGACUGUUUUGUUAUAAAUUAAUGACUUGAUGCAAAGAGACAUUUAUGGUCUUCAAGAUAAAAUACAGAUAGAUCCCAUCUCAACUAAAUGAGUAAAGAACAGAGACUAUUUCAAAAGUGUGGAAUUUGAAGACAAACAGAAUGACAGGAAAUAGUAGAGAAAUUCAGUCUUAUGAACAUAGAGGUUUAACCUUCUUUACAACAUAGAGGUUUUUUCAGGAGUAUUUCUAACUCGGCUCAAGUCAACAGUUCCUGCUUAUAAUGCUCUCUCUUUUCUCCCAACUUCUCCAUGAAGCUCUGUAGUGUAGCUUGGUCCCACAAUUGACUCAAACUUGAAGGCCACCAUUCCCAAAACUCUCUUUCUCUUCCAACAUUUUCAUUGUUGAUACGCUACACAAAUCCAAAAUGAAUAAGUCUAAGCAUUGGUACUUCUCCAAUACUUGAAGAAGGGAUCCCAAUCACAUCUAGUUUCAAAUCCAGAAAGGAGAUUUGCAGAGGGCUUUCUUUAUCAAUCACUCUAGUGGGAGGUGUUUUGAGAAAAACUACAGAUACAUAAGCAUGUUGGGAAUCAAUAUGGGAGAACUUAACUACAAUGGUGAAUUUGGAUAAUGAUAAACAUUGUUUUAAACAAUUGAAAUUCGGUGAAGGAAAAAAGAAUGGAGCUUCAAUCAAAUGAAAUUAACACUUUUGAAUAAGAAAUGGAUUACAAGCAUGAUAAACUCAAAUAGCUAAACUAUACAGCGACAGUCUUCAUUUACAGACAAAACGGUAGGUAUUCCGCUCAAUGCCUGGGCAUACUCAUAAGAACUUAAUGAGAUUAGUAUAAAAUAACGCAGUCAUCAAUCGUGAAAUAGUUAGUUUGAAACAAGAAAUGUAUAGAAAUGAAUUCAAUUCGACAGCAAACAUAACAAUAUUUUCGCAAAAACAAGAUGAAAAAGCAACCUUGAAUUACGUUAAUUAGAUAGCAUUAGGGUUUCACAGCUCCGUCAUGACUUCUUCAAUCGCCGCCGUAGACUGCGGCGGAGGGGAAGCAGCAAAGCGGACUAGGGGUACAUUAGUCCGAAUGACUUCAACACAGUAGUGCUGCACCUGCACAAGUGAAAAGUCCAAAUUACUGAUUCCGUACCGA